CACGGGGGGAGCAAGCGUUGUUCGGAUUCAUUGGGCGUAAAGGGUGCGUAGGCGGCGCGGUAAGUCGGGUGUGAAAUCUCGGGGCUUAACUCCGAAACUGCAUUCGAUACUGCCGUGCUUGAGGACUGGAGAGGAGACUGGAAUUUACGGUGUAGCGGUGAAAUGCGUAGAUAUCGUAAGGAAGACCAGUGGCGAAGGCGGGUCUCUGGACAGUUCCUGACGCUGAGGCACGAAGGCCAGGGGAGCAAACGGG
This 253-nucleotide ribosomal RNA is filed under the name uncultured bacterium. RNAcentral's name for it is "partial 16S ribosomal RNA". It matches the Rfam family "Bacterial small subunit ribosomal RNA", at positions 524 to 776 of the family's 1533-position model. The record is from RNAcentral.